UACGUAGGCAGCGAGCGUUGUUCGGAGUUACUGGGCGUAAAGCGUGCGUAGGCGGUUUUGCAAGUCUGGUGUGAAAUCUCCCGGCUCAACUGGGAGGGUGCGCCGGAAACUGCAAGGCUGGAGUAUGGGAGAGGUAGGCGGAAUUCCUGGUGUAGCGGUGAAAUGCGUAGAUAUCAGGAGGAACACCUGUGGUGUAGACGGCUUACUGGACCAUGACUGACGCUGAUGUACGAAAGCGUGGGGAGCAAACAGGAUUAGAAACCCCAGUAGUCC
RNAcentral lists this ribosomal RNA (273 nucleotides) under uncultured bacterium. RNAcentral's name for it is "partial 16S ribosomal RNA". It matches the Rfam family "Bacterial small subunit ribosomal RNA", at positions 524 to 796 of the family's 1533-position model. The record is from RNAcentral.